UUGACCUCGGAUCAGGUAGGAAUACCCGCUGAACUUAAGCAUAUCAAUAAGCGGAGGAAAAGAAACCAACAGGGAUUGCCCCAGUAACGGCGAGUGAAGCGGCAACAGCUCAAAUUUGAAAUCUGGCCCCAGGCCCGAGUUGUAAUUUGCAGAGGAUGCUUUUGGCGCGGUGCCUUCCGAGUUCCCUGGAACGGGACGCCAUAGAGGGUGAGAGCCCCGUACGGUUGGACACCAAGUCUUUGUAAAGCUCCUUCGACGAGUCGAGUGUUUUGGGAAUGC
This 279-nucleotide ribosomal RNA is filed under the name Colletotrichum boninense. RNAcentral describes it as "partial 28S ribosomal RNA". It matches the Rfam family "Eukaryotic large subunit ribosomal RNA", at positions 1 to 283 of the family's 3401-position model. The record is from RNAcentral. Lineage: Eukaryota; Fungi; Ascomycota; Sordariomycetes; Glomerellales; Glomerellaceae.